AGGCCCAUAGCUUAAUGGUCAAAGCAACGGACUCAUAAUCCGUAGACUGAGGGUUCGAAUCCCUCUGGGCCCA
RNAcentral lists this transfer RNA (73 nucleotides) under marine sediment metagenome. RNAcentral's name for it is "tRNA-Met". It matches the Rfam family "tRNA". From Rfam's summary of the family: Transfer RNA (tRNA) molecules are approximately 80 nucleotides in length. Their secondary structure includes four short double-helical elements and three loops (D, anti-codon, and T loops). Further hydrogen bonds mediate the characteristic L-shaped molecular structure. tRNAs have two regions of fundamental functional importance: the anti-codon, which is responsible for specific mRNA codon recognition, and the 3' end, to which the tRNAs corresponding amino acid is attached (by aminoacyl-tRNA synthetases). tRNAs cope with the degeneracy of the genetic code in two manners: having more than one tRNA (with a specific anti-codon) for a particular amino acid; and 'wobble' base-pairing, i.e. permitting non-standard base-pairing at the 3rd anti-codon position. The record is from RNAcentral.